This 300-nucleotide ribosomal RNA is filed under the name uncultured Bartonella sp. RNAcentral describes it as "partial 16S ribosomal RNA". It matches the Rfam family "Bacterial small subunit ribosomal RNA", at positions 496 to 795 of the family's 1533-position model. Lineage: Bacteria; Pseudomonadati; Pseudomonadota; Alphaproteobacteria; Hyphomicrobiales; Bartonellaceae. The record is from RNAcentral.
GGUAGGAGGGUGCCGGUGGGGGGGGUGAUACGGAGGGUGCAAGCGUUAUUCGGGAUGACAGGGCGGAAGGCGUGCGCUAGCGGUUUUGUAAGCCAGAUGUGGAAUCCCCUGGCGUAACGUGGGAACUGAGUUUGGAACGACAAGACUAGAGUGUGUCAGAGGGGGGUAGAAUUCCACGUGUAGCAGUGAAAUGCGUAGAGAUGUGGAGGAAUACCGAUGGCGAAGGCAGCCCCCUGGGAUAACACUGACGCUCAUGCACGAAAGCGUGGGGAGCAAACAGGAUUAGAUACCCUAGUAGUC